Long non-coding RNA from Girardinichthys multiradiatus, 5552 nucleotides. RefSeq lists it as uncharacterized. The transcript has 4 exons. NCBI's taxonomy places the organism in Eukaryota, Metazoa, Chordata, Actinopteri, Cyprinodontiformes, Goodeidae. The record is from RefSeq and is a predicted model, not a curated record.
GAUCCACCUGCAGAACAGGAAAGAGGCUCAAUGUCGGCAUGGCAACAGGUGGGGUCAAAGGUCACCAGUGCAAAAGUGGUCUUUAGAAAUCCUGCAGCGUGUCGGUUUCCAGGUCAAGGAGGCGACUCGUUAGCUCUUAGUGAGCGUCAGCAGAACACAACUUUAUCUCUGAUGAAACCACGGUGAGGUUCUGACCCUGCAGGGAAGACUCGGGAAGAUUUAAAGGUCCAACAGUGAGUUGGGGAGGUUGGUGUCCUCCUUGACCAGGUCAUGUGGUUUAAUCUCAUUUAAAUUGCUUUCUAGGACAACCUUCUUUCACCAGUACAAGAAAUAUCCUGUCUAGCAGUGACGCUGGUCCCUGUGUUUGUUACUUCAAAGCUGGACUGUUGUAACCCUUUACUAUCAGGAUGUCCACAAAAUGCAGGUCCACAGAGUGAGAGGAGAGGGUUCUGGAAGGUCGGACAGGAGAAUCAGGAGAGAUGGGCAGGCAGGAGUGAAGACGAUGGAUGAAUUGGGUUAACAUUCAUCCAGUGUGUCCUGUUCAGCUGAAGCACAAAGAGGGGGGGACCUUCUGUCUUUUCUCCACUGAGGAGUUCACUAAGAAACAAAGUUACGGCUAGAAGAAUAAAUGUGGAAGAAACCCAUGCAGGAGGAGCCUAUGAUCUCCAUAUCUGACAGAGGGAAGAUCGCUCUGCUGCUCUUCAUGAAGAACGAGAUGAUGGAACUCAGCUGAGAUCGCUCAGACUUUGGGACUAUAGCACCACCAGCUGGCAAGAAUGGGUAAAGCAACAAGCCCACCCCUCCACCUGAGAAAAUGAGGAGAUGUACAGGUCCAGGACCUCCAGCAUGUUUCUUCUUGUUCAAAUGGAUUGGUUCCUUCCCACUGUUGGCACGUUCUUUUUUAGGAGGAGAGAUUGCAGUAACCUUAAUGAUCUAACCAUCUGGGCCUCAUGUGGACGGUACCAACUCCAGACUUGACUUCAGUUCACAGGAGAUGAUCUUCCUGCCUGCAGCUGUGAUCCAACGUGAGGAGGCAGCAGAGACCUCAGGUCGUGUUUUAAAAGUUAUCUCCUUUAAACCUGCUGAGAUGAUAAGGACGAUGUCUUCUCUCCACCGAGACAUCCCGACUGCUGGGACACAGCGACCAUCUGAAGGAACGAGGUGAGCAGAGCGAUCAGGAGACAGACUGUAAAAGAAGAACUGAGGUGAGCGGAGGAACAGGUUGGAAUAUUCAAGCAAAGACCUUUGCUCACUUUCUGGAAGGCGAUCAAUCCGCCAGGAGGAGAAACCAGUUCAAGUCUGUGGUAAGAGUCUGCACGAAAACGAUUAGAGCGAUCUGAUGUUCCAGGUAACAAAGUGGUGGACAGGUUGCGCCUCCAGCUGGAGGACUCGCAAGGGCAGCAGCAGAUUCCAGUCUUGACAGGAAGUGGGUUCAGGAGGAAACCCAGCUUGGCCUAUAACGAAAGAACAAGACGGAUAAUUAAUCAAGGCUCAAAAAACAAGUGGAGCUUCCAGAAUUCAGCAGAUAAUGGCCAGGUAAACACUACCACGGUAGGCAAAACACUCAGGCGUAGAAAAGCCAACGAUCCACCUUCAUAUAGUCCUCCAGCUGAUGAAGCAACGAGGUAAACCUGUCAACACUCCGGUCUGCAGCUCCAGCGCCUCUUAGGGUGAGAACUUUAGUAACAGGCAGGUUGAACAGACUGUGACAGUCAGAGGUUAAGACUGUAUUUAAUUUAACCUCAGAAAUGCUGGAUUAAAAAGUUAAGUCUUCAGUUCAGUUGUCAUGUUCACUGACUCAGCCACCUCCAGGUCCUCCAGAAUUAAAAACGUGGUUACAGAAGACCUGAAGGUUCUGAAGAGCUCACACAGUAGAAACAUCUUUGAUAAAUCAGAAGGACCAGGAGCUUUGUACAUGACUCCAGACUUCUGCAGGCGAGCUGUGCAGAGACAGUGAAAUAAAUGGUUCCUCCUGGUUCUUGGAGCUGAGAUUUGACAAAUUAUUUUGAAGAAACACCAGGAAAAGGAUAAUGGAGAGUCCAGGUAAGAAAUGCUUGGAUGCUUGUUUCUGUGUUGGUUCUGCAGGUCUGGAAAUAUUCUAAUCUGAGGUCUAAUUGAAAAAUGACUCUGAGGUUUUUUGAUUGAGAACUUCAGUUUCAUUCUUUUCUGGUUUCAUCUUUUUGUGCUGGUUGAGUUGUAGGAGAUGAUUUUCCAUCCAGAGCUUCAGAUCCAAAAUCCAUUUCUAAAUACAUUGCACAUAAGCCUGAGUGUCAUCUGCACAGGUGUGGACCCUAAUGCUGUGUUACCUGCUGAUGUCUGAAAGAGGAAGCGUUAAACUUUUACUGCAACCAUCUCAACUCUCAGGUCGACUCGGAUAAUUCACCAAAUGUCCAGCAGAUGGCGGUAUACACCCACACAUGGAGAACUGGCCUCGGAUCAGACAUGAAGGAGAAAAACAUAAAGUUAUUUUUAAAGCUGCUCAUAAAUCUGCUUAAUUUAGUUCAACAGUUUUUUUCCACAUUCUGUAAAGUUUAGUUAGGUCUUUGUUCUAUUUGUUCAGGAAACAGAUACUAAAGAUACUAACAGCUGAAUGUAGUUUGUAUAUUUUUUCUCAGUAAAGAAAAGAAAUCAGAGUGAAUGUUAAACAGGAAGUAUAGUUUUUAUUUGGACUAACUUUCUGACUCACUGUGAUCAAUCUUCUCCAAGUUUGAGUGAAACCCUGAAGCUCAUUUUGGACCUUUUGGAAACAGUGUGACUUUGGACUUUAAUUAUACUGUCACCUUUAAUUAAAGCUGGUGUUAUUCUGCUGAUUUCUGCCAGGAAGAAACUGUGGAAGAGAAGAUUCCAGAACUAGGAGAACCUGGUCUCCAUCCCUGGGACUGAAGCUGCCUUUGGGCCUCAGGUGCAUCAGCUUCAGCUCAUUUAACUCAGCAAUCAGCUGACUGAGCAGACUUGGUUUAAAAGAAUACUGCGAAGUUUCUAAGAAGAUGGUCAGAAGGUCUGAGAGAUGCUGAUGUUUCCUUCCUGUGUUUCGUCUCUUCAUGUAAAAAACUUUACAGGAAUCCUGUUGGUUCCUGAAUUCAGAUUUAAUCCCUCUGAACUCUUCUUCCCUUCAUCUCAACUUUAAUUGGUGCCGUUUCUUAUUCAGAAAACACAGUUUAAUUCAAACAUUUGGACUAAAAUAUUGUUUAUUUGUUGUUCUACAUCUGGAGAUGUUUUAUUUCUAGUCUAGUUUGACUCAAAUAAUAAUGUCACAUUUAUACCUUCAUCAAAUAUUAAGUCCAAACACAACACAGUUAGUUAUUCCUUGCGACACACUGUUUCAUUUAAGGAUCAAUGAUUAAACCCACAGACGCCUUUAUUAAAUAAAAAUAUAGUAGUGCAACAAACUGAAACUUGAAGUUAGGUUUUUAAUAUCAUUUAAAAGGAUUCUCAGACCUGUUUGACUUAAACAACAAAUGAAAUGUUAAUAAAAAGAGAUUAAACUGAAUAAAGAAGUGAUCAAAUCUCUAAAUAAUAUACAACAGGAAGUGUAAAACAUUAGAAACAAGCUUCUUAUUUUAGUUUUCUUUGUAACUCUCAGCUUCUUAUUUAUUGUCUCCAUCAUAAAAACCAAAAUGUGAUCUUCAUCAGCAUUCAGAGGGAAUCCUUUGGUCCUCGGCUGUUUUACAGAGGUCUGCUCUUUGUUUCGCUGCUCCCUACUGGUGCUCUGCAGCAUUUAGUAGAAAGGUUGAACCAGUCUGUAGAAGCUGUCACUUUCUCUGUUGUCCAGGAUCGUCUGAUGUCAGAGAUGGAAAGAAGGAAAUUAUUACCACCUACUUACAAUAUUUCAACCAUGUUUAGGGCUCCAAACUUGCAAGGCGGAGCAGGGAACCCUGUCGCUUUUCUACUGUUUUCUUAUUCUUGAAUUUUCCCCUAGUGCUGUAAAAUACCCAUAAUGCAUUUUGAGGGCUGAACCAUUAAGGCCUGAGUGCUUCUGCGAGUAAAGCUGAAUCUGACCCAUGUUGGGCAGGAGGGCCUGAAGGGUUAUGUUCCAGUUUGAGCCUGCUGACCCCAGGACAGCCUCUUCCUGUCUGUUGUUGGGCCCAGCCAUGGAUGGAGAACAAUCACUGAACUACACAAGCAAAAACACUGGUAAAACUCUGAAUCCCAGAAUGCACAGCAUCACGCUACUUUCAGGAGUCCCAGCUGGAAUCUCCAUGACAUCGUAGAACCAAUCUGGUCCUCGACCUGUUUGCUCUCUUCACACACCGCUGCCGCUGGUUGCCUGGGGUGGAUGUCGGACUUCGCUGGCCCGGUUAGACGACUUCUUUGAAACUUGGAUCCAAGUUAAGUACGAUAUGCUGUCUGUGGAUCCAGCGGUCGUAACUGGUUGAAAUUUAAACUAGCUGUCUCAAAUCCUCCUCUGAGCCAAAAAAGAAAAAGAGAAGUUGUGAGUUUCUACUGUAUCAGUGAGCAGAGCUUCAUGUUCCAGAACAUCAGAGCUCAUAUCUGCUCUACCAUCCAUUGUUCUAGAAUACUGCCAUAUUGGGCCGGGUUUACCAGGACAGUACCUGAUGAUUCCUGAUCAGAUGGUGCCCUGAUUGGUUAGUCUGACUGAAAAUAUAAUAUUCUAACUUUAUUAUUAUCUUGUAAAUAAUGAAUUGUUAAUGAUAAAUAUUAAUAGUUGCUAAAAGUUAAACCAACAUUGUUAUGGAUGUCCUCUUCCAGUGGAGACAAUCUCUACUGGAGAGACGACUUCACUGAAUCUGAUGUAACAGCAUCAUUCUUAAGGAGUUUUUGUUUAGUUUUCGUGCAUAAAAUAAACUGACUUUUCAAAAUAAAGUCACAACCUAAUGAAGCAACCAGGUAAGAGCCUCUGAUUGGAUCAUUACUGCAUGGAUGAUCAUGUUUCUGGAGGUAACAAGUUAUUUCACCCAAACGGAUGCAGUGAGCAGCUUCUCAUUUCCUAAACAACCAUGUUGGACCCGUCCUGGGGUUGUGGAAAAAAUUUUAAUCUGUUUCAGAGCAGAUCAAUUUAUGGGCAUCAAGCAAGGAGAAGAUCUAAGGAGAUUCCUGGAUUAGUCAGUAACCUCCUGCGAUGGUCUGGCCUUAGAUCUUUUCCUCUUCGGUGAUGCAGAAAAGUCCAGCAGAGAUUUUAAGGGAACAUCUGCUGCCUUCAGGACCACGACGGACCAUGCUGGUUCUGUAAAAAUAAAUCUGACAGUUUUUGUAUCCCAGCUGGAUUUGAAAGCCUUUCUCAUGUAAAUAGAUGUUGAUGUGAGGGAAAAUCUCCUGAGCUGAGAUCAUUCAUGGUUGUUUCUGCGUCCUUCAAGAAGCCUGAGCUGGAAGUUCUGUAAAGUGAGAAGGACCAGGUGUCCUUUCUCUGUUUAGCUUUCCUGUCUGCAGUUCAUCUGCUGAGUUUAGAGGAAACACAAUCAGUUUAGUGGAACAUGUUUUUUUUGUUUUCUGGCCUGUAGGUGGCGCUGUUGCUCUUUUCUCGCUUUCCUGUUGGUUCAUUGUUAAUUUUAUUAAAGUCUCACAGUUCAGUGAAGACACAAAUAAUAUUUAUU